GGAGAAGUACCCAAGUGGCCGAAGGGGCUCCCCUGCUAAGGGAGUAGUGUUCGAAAGGGCAGCGAGGGUUCAAAUCCCUCCUUCUCCGCCA
RNAcentral lists this transfer RNA (91 nucleotides) under Clostridiales bacterium. Its description in RNAcentral is "tRNA-Ser". It matches the Rfam family "tRNA". Rfam says of the family: Transfer RNA (tRNA) molecules are approximately 80 nucleotides in length. Their secondary structure includes four short double-helical elements and three loops (D, anti-codon, and T loops). The record is from RNAcentral. Lineage: Bacteria; Bacillati; Bacillota; Clostridia; Eubacteriales. RNAcentral also lists the same sequence under 1 other name.